UUUUUUAAUUCAAACUGACCAUUUCUCAUUUCUUUUUAUUCUGAACUGAUCACUGUUUUUAACUCGUCCUGAUCAAUAUUUUUAAUGCAAACCUUUUUGUCCUUUCAUAUGACAGAAAUUAUUCAUCUCCCAUGACCUCUUAAAAUUCAAGACUCAGGCACAAACAUCCUCAUCUUAGCAGGACAAGCUAAUUCAUUCGCAUGCAGAGCAACAAUAACAAUACUCCAAACAUACCAAGGGACGUCACACUGAAAAAACAAUGCAACCAACGGGUUCUCUCCAGUGGCAAAAUUGACUAUUUUUGAACUUGCACGACAUCUAAACAAGAACUACAUGAUACACAAUUUUCCAUCAUGCACCUCCUAUCCUGAGCAUAAAUGAAAUGAGAGAAGGGUAUCCUGAACAUCUAAACAAGAACUUGCAAUUUUUUCCAUCAUAUGCACCCAGAGAUUCUGCCUUCUCCCCUGGCCCUGAAACAAGAGCACCAUCAGUUUAGUUUUAAACAAAUUGAAAGUUCGAACAUGAGGCAUGUAGUUUUUCAAAUGAUGAAAGUCACAGAACUGAGCUAUUUUUGUUUUACUUCAAAUAAUUCAACAUGAAAAAGACAAAUACAGAUAAAUAUUUUUUUGUGCGAAAUUCUGAAGCAGAUGUCAGUUCGACCUUUUUAAAUACUUUUUUGCACAAGGAGAUGAUGUUAUUGAACUGGCUAGGUACAUUCAGCUUUACCUAGUAUGUUAUUGCCCUGGAACUGCAAUUUGUAUCUUUUACUGCUCAUCUUUAACAUUAAGAAAGUACUAAUCAGUACUAGUAUUUGUGUAAGUCAUACUGAUCAGUACUGCUGCUUGUCGUACUGAUGAGCACUAAAUUUUUCAUCUAGUGGACUGCUCUUGGUUUUCAAGUUGGACUUGAGUACUUUUAAAUGGACUUUUUACAGAGCUCUGAUCAAAAUCUAGAUUCCAAGAAAAAAUGGCCUUCAUGGAUGGCAGUAUGUGAACUGAAGAGUAGGAGAGGAGGAGCACGAAGGUGUUUCUCACCAAUCAUGUUCCUGAUGGCGUGGUGGAUGGAGGCAUGAACUGAUGCUGGUCAUUUUGUUGAACCUCCACCAAAGAACCCCUAUUAAGUCGUAUAGAAGAGAAACCAGAGAUAAGGUUAGUGACAUGGAGCUGGUGCAGUACGGCGACCUCGCCGUAGAUGCAACACCCCAACACACGAGCACCUCACAUAUGUAAGGGAACGGUGCUGGACGUCGUGGUGGUUCUGGACCAGCUCGAGGGCAUGCCUGGCACCAUUGAGGCAGGCCGUGGGGGCUGGCUGGGGGAGGUCAUGGUGGUGGUGACACACGCCAGAGUGAGGAACGGUGACCCACACAAGAAUUUGUAGCAGCUGAGGUGGCAUACGUGCACGGGAGGAGGAAAGCAACCACGUGUGGGGGCGGCGAGCAGUUGUGAUGGUGCGCUUUCCCUCUUGGUUAUUUAUCAAUUACAUAGCUCCAAAAGAAAGGUAACUGAUACAACUACUAGCAAUGUGCUAAAAGAACAUUAGUAUCUAUUAGUUGGGAAUCAUGUGUAUUUGCCUCUCUGUAUUCGAAAUUGCUUCAAUUGAUGGCUCAUUGGAUAACAUGCAUGGUCCUUAUAAUUAUGAAGUUAGCAGCAGUUCUACAUUAGAAUUCCGAGAGAAAUUUCUACAAAAUUCAUUAACCAAAGUGACAGUAUGGUGCUCAUUCUCAAGCACAAUGACAAGUACUUGUUUGUGCUAUAUGAAGGAGAUGGAAACACAAAGGAAAUCAGACUCACCAUUGGGAAGUAGAUGAACUGAAAAGCAUAGAAAAUAUGAACUUGUGCAUCUUGUUUUAACUUCAUCCUACGAAAAAGGAACAAAUAUGGGACAUGAGUUUUUGUCAAGAUGAACUUACCAGGGUUUGGUGUUCGAAUUUUUAAAUGUUUGUGCUACCGGAAAUAGAGAAUAGCAGCAUGCCUCGACCAGAUCGGCGACUUCCUCACGGGCGGCCUCUCGUACACCGCGAGGGCAACACAUACACACACGAACUGACCAGAAUACACAACACGACCGGGUAGAUAAACAAAUUGAUAAGAAUACAUGUCUUCUCGAUUAUGAACUGAUAAGAAUACACAACAUGGACAACUAGCCAUGAACUUCUUGAACUCCCCUGUAGGUUUUUAAUGGUUUUUUGGUGUUCACGUUCUUUACGAAGUCCCUGACUUCUCGACUAUGAACUUACUACAUAGAAGGAUCCUCACAUACAUGUAUAACUUGACAGGAGCUGACAGAAAAUGUUGCAGCAAAAUGGCAUUUUUAUUGAACAUAAUAAUACAACCAUAUCUUGUAAUACAUCCAUCAUGAUGGAAUUAAAUGCACAGUGAAAUGGCAGCAUUACACAUACUCGAGAACUAACAGAUUAUUCUUCAGUUACUCUGAUCAACUUCAGUUUUCUUCAGAAAUUGGAUGAGAAAUAGCAUCGGCUAUGCUAUCAAUUUUUUGCAUCUCUAGCACACUUGUUGGGAGUAUUGUUCAUCACAUGAUGAACCUCUUUUUUUCUGUUUUUCUUGACUGUCAUAGAAUAAAAUAUUGAACUAUCUUGUAUAAGUAUAGUUUUCAUUUUUUUAAAUAAUUGUUCAAUGAACCUCCCCGCCACGUGAGUUUGAACUUAUGAAUUUAUUAGAAAUGAACUUGUGUGAGACUUUUUCUUUGCAUAGUGUACUACCAUUUUUUUGUUUAGUUUGUCAUACAUAGUGAACUGUCAUAUAAUUUUGGGCGAAGUUUUUUAUACCUUUUUAUGUUUGAAAAAUGAACUUUUUUCCUACGCUAUUGUUGUUUUUGCAAGGUCGUCUUACGUUCCAUAUGUACUUGAACUGAUUGAAGUUUGAAGAUUUGAACUUAUGUUUUCUUAAGUAUCGACUAUGCAAAAUAUAUAAAUCCAUUUUUCAUAAGUAUAGACAACGUCAAAGGGAAGAGAGGAAGGGCAGGAGUCAGGGGAGCAAAAGGAAGAUCUAUAGAAAAAUCAAAAGAGAAAUUUUGAUAAGAACAUUACAAGUUUGAAACCAUUCAAGAAUUAAGUUCCUAUGGCUAGUAGCUAUGCAGGAUUUAAGUGAACUCUCAGUAAAAGUAUUUUCGUAUUCCACAUGUAGUAAUACCUGGACUUGCUGUCACAUGUGUUCUUUAUAGUAAAUCGAGGCAAAUGAGAUGGUAAUCCUUCUCUUCAUUUUCUUUUUCUCUAUCCUGCAUCAGUUCAGAAAUCCAAUACAGGUUUCAGUUCAAAAGAGAAUUCCAUCCAUGCCUUGACUGACUAGCAGUAAUUAAAUAAUCAAAAUAAGUUUUUGCUAACCAGUUUAUGUCCUCUCAAUCAGUCCAAAUAAUCUAGCAUCUAGUAUCGAUUAAUCAGUUCGACAAAUGAGGUUGUUAACGAGCCCAUUAACGAUAAAAAUGAAAUCAGCUAAUAACUUACUGGCCGAAUCAAAUUUUAGUGCUUUCAAGCAGCAGCAAUAGUCGGACUGAUGGAGACAUCCAUGGGUGAUAUAUAGUUGAACUUGCAUGAUGUGCAAAUAAGAGCAUGACUUCUGUACUUACUACACGAGCAUGACUUCUGUACUUACUAGACAAUACUACGCCAACAAGUAUCAUGCUAUGUGAACUUUUGUGAUGGAUGACCUUUUAGUUUUUAUUAUCAGUACUUGUUGAAAAUAAAUAUCUAAACCACCAGACUUGGGUGUGGGAACCAAAAUUCAGAAGAGCGGCAUCUCAACAGGGAUUACACUAGCAUUGACAUUCUGACAAUAGUGAGGGCUCAAAUGCCAAGUAAUGUACAGUAACUGAAAAGGCAUCAUUUUUCUGACAUUCGGUUCUGAAACUAUGUGGACCUAAGUAACUAUUGGCAGUCAAGAAAUGUACAAGUUGCAUAUAUUUCUGCCUAGUAAAUUAUGCUACCAAGCUUACAAGUCAAAACAAUUUCUUGAACAUGCAGCACAAAUUGCAGGUUGCUCCCAUCUCUGUUCUCCAAAACAAUUAGAGGGGCGGAUGAAAAAGGAAACCUGUAACAAAUAAUUUUCAUUUCCGUAAGCAGAAACAAUCAGGC
This 4090-nucleotide long non-coding RNA is filed under the name Triticum aestivum (bread wheat). RNAcentral describes it as "long non-coding RNA (TAES_LNC025579)". Lineage: Eukaryota; Viridiplantae; Streptophyta; Magnoliopsida; Poales; Poaceae. The record is from RNAcentral.